RNAcentral lists this transfer RNA (75 nucleotides) under Helicobacter sp. 13S00482-2. RNAcentral's name for it is "tRNA-Thr". It matches the Rfam family "tRNA". Rfam says of the family: Transfer RNA (tRNA) molecules are approximately 80 nucleotides in length. Their secondary structure includes four short double-helical elements and three loops (D, anti-codon, and T loops). Further hydrogen bonds mediate the characteristic L-shaped molecular structure. tRNAs have two regions of fundamental functional importance: the anti-codon, which is responsible for specific mRNA codon recognition, and the 3' end, to which the tRNAs corresponding amino acid is attached (by aminoacyl-tRNA synthetases). tRNAs cope with the degeneracy of the genetic code in two manners: having more than one tRNA (with a specific anti-codon) for a particular amino acid; and 'wobble' base-pairing, i.e. permitting non-standard base-pairing at the 3rd anti-codon position. RNAcentral also lists the same sequence under 1 other name. Lineage: Bacteria; Pseudomonadati; Campylobacterota; Epsilonproteobacteria; Campylobacterales; Helicobacteraceae. The record is from RNAcentral.
GCCCAUAUAGCUCAGGGGUAGAGCACUUCCUUGGUAAGGAAGAGGUCGGCGGUUCAAUUCCGCUUAUGGGCUCCA